GAUGAACGCUGGCGGCGUGCCUAAUACAUGCAAGUCGAGCGAACGGACGAGAAGCUUGCUCCUCUGAUGUUAGCGGCGGACGGGUGAGUAACAAGUGGAUAACCUACCUAUAAGACUGGGAUAACUUCGGGAAACAGGAGCUACUAAUGGAUAAUAUUUUGAACCGCAUGGAUCAAAAGUGCAUGACGGUCUUGCUGUCACUUAUAGCUGGAUCCGCGCUGCAUUAGCUAGUUGGUAAGGUAACGGCUUACCAAGGCAACGAUGCAUAGCCGACCUGAGAGGGUGAUCGGCCACACUGGAACUGAGACACGGUCCAGACUCCUACGGGAGGCAGCAGUGGGGAAUCUUCCGCAAUGGGCGAAAGCCUGACGGAGCAACGCCGCGUGAGUGAUGAAGGUCUUCGGAUUGUAAAGCUCUGUUAUUAGGGAAGAACAGAUGUGGAAUUAACUGCGCCCAUCUUGACGGUACCUAAACAGAAAGCAACGGCUAACUACGUG
Molecule: ribosomal RNA, 497 nt
Filed under: uncultured bacterium
Lineage: Bacteria
Description: partial 16S ribosomal RNA
Rfam family: Bacterial small subunit ribosomal RNA
Source: RNAcentral